UUGGGUGACGAGUGGCGGACGGGUGAGUAAUGUCUGGGGAUCUGCCCGAUAGAGGGGGAUAACCACUGGAAACGGUGGCUAAUACCGCAUAACGUCGCAAGACCAAAGAGGGGGACCUUCGGGCCUCUCACUAUCGGAUGAACCCAGAUGGGAUUAGCUAGUAGGCGGGGUAAUGGCCCACCUAGGCGACGAUCCCUAGCUGGUCUGAGAGGAUGACCAGCCACACUGGAACUGAGACACGGUCCAGACUCCUACGGGAGGCAGCAGUGGGGAAUAUUGCACAAUGGGCGCAAGCCUGAUGCAGCCAUGCCGCGUGUAUGAAGAAGGCCUUCGGGUUGUAAAGUACUUUCAGCGGGGAGGAAGGCGAUGC
RNAcentral lists this ribosomal RNA (370 nucleotides) under Pantoea sp. RNAcentral describes it as "bacterial SSU rRNA". It matches the Rfam family "Bacterial small subunit ribosomal RNA", at positions 84 to 457 of the family's 1533-position model. The record is from RNAcentral. Lineage: Bacteria; Pseudomonadati; Pseudomonadota; Gammaproteobacteria; Enterobacterales; Erwiniaceae.